CAAUAUCAAAAAACGGCAAAAUGAAAAUAAUUUAUUUUUACAUAUUGGCAUAGCUAUAAUGUUGGUUUGCCAAUUGAUUCACAUUAUAGAGGAUUAAGAGUUCGGCUCUCACCAUCUCAAAUGAUGAUUUAUUGGACAAUGGAAAUUAUACAGAAAAUCUACAUCACAAAUUAAAAGUAAAUCAUUAUUGGGAUUUAGGAUAAUGAUAACAGAAAAAGAGCAAACGAUGAGAUGGAAACUUGGGUGAAUCCAUGCAUGCAUGCAUGGUCCUUCCACAUAUCUUAUCAGAAGAUUUUCAAUAACAGAGAGUCAUUCAGCAGGAGCAUCUUCCAUUACAAAAGGGAUUGCAGAUAAUUUCUUGGAGUUUGCGCCCCAAAGCCAAAUUCAAGACUUGGGCAUUUUUCUCAGAGGAAUCUGAAGCUGAAUGCUCCGCAGCCAUAGCCACAGCCCAGCUGCUAAGGUGGCUCUGAAGUGCAAUAAAAAUGACAAAUGCCACAAAUAUUAGUACUGCAAAUUUGGCCAUUUUUUAGCACUAGAAGAUAU
RNAcentral lists this long non-coding RNA (543 nucleotides) under Coffea arabica (coffee). Its description in RNAcentral is "long non-coding RNA (CARA_LNC000466)". Lineage: Eukaryota; Viridiplantae; Streptophyta; Magnoliopsida; Gentianales; Rubiaceae. The record is from RNAcentral.